RNAcentral lists this ribosomal RNA (256 nucleotides) under Clostridioides difficile. RNAcentral's name for it is "partial 16S ribosomal RNA". It matches the Rfam family "Bacterial small subunit ribosomal RNA", at positions 796 to 1050 of the family's 1533-position model. Lineage: Bacteria; Bacillati; Bacillota; Clostridia; Peptostreptococcales; Peptostreptococcaceae. The record is from RNAcentral.
CACGCUGUAAACGAUGAGUACUAGGUGUCGGGGGUUACCCCCCUCGGUGCCGCAGCUAACGCAUUAAGUACUCCGCCUGGGAAGUACGCUCGAAAGAGUGAAACUCAAAGGAAUUGACGGGGACCCGAACAAGUAGCGGAGCAUGUGGUUUAAUUCGAAGCAACGCGAAGAACCUUACCUAAGCUUGACAUCCCAAUGACAUCUCCUUAAUCGGAGAGUUCCCUUCGGGGACAUUGGUGACAGGUGGUGCAUGGUU